UGACGCACGCCACGCCGCGAGUCUGCACGUGCCUGUCGUGACCAAUCACAUUCGCGAGGCACGAAUAUAUGCCUUCCGGGUUGUCGCCUCGAACAGAUGCGGGGGAGAGGCGUUAGCGGAUGGAAGCAACAGUACUUUGAUACCGCCGCGGGUAGAUGCGUGGGGGCUCGUAUGUGACAUCGCACGUAGUGAAUGUGCAGGCUAGUGGUGCCUUGGGGAGACCACAGCGACACCACUACUUUGGAUGGCGAGCUAGGCCCAACGAGCCAGAACCCCAGCUACAACUUCCUGCGGUCUGGUA
Molecule: long non-coding RNA, 301 nt
Organism: Oreochromis niloticus (Nile tilapia)
Lineage: Eukaryota; Metazoa; Chordata; Actinopteri; Cichliformes; Cichlidae
Exons: 3
Source: RefSeq, a predicted model, not a curated record